Molecule: transfer RNA, 73 nt
Rfam family: tRNA
About the family: Transfer RNA (tRNA) molecules are approximately 80 nucleotides in length. Their secondary structure includes four short double-helical elements and three loops (D, anti-codon, and T loops).
GCCGCCUUAGCUCAGUUGGUAGAGCAACCGCUUCGUAAGCGGUAGGUCCCCGGUUCAAAUCCGGGAGGCGGCU